GACGAACGCUGGCGGCGUGCUUGACACAUGCAAGUCGAACGGAAAGGCCUGCUUUCCCUUGUGGAUUGCGGGUACUCGAGUGGCGAACGGGUGAGUAACACGUGAGUGAUCUGCCCCCAACUUGGGUAUAAGCCUGGGAAACUGGGUCUAAUUCCCGAUAGGACUGCAGGGUGGUGCCUGUGGUGGAAAACGAUUUUCUAGUGGUUGGGGAUGAGCUCGCGGCCUAUCAGCUUGUUGGUGGGGUAAUGGCCUACCAAGGCGGCGACGGGUAGCCGGCCUGGGAGGGUGGACGGCCACAUUGGGACUGAGAUACGGCCCAGACUCCUACGGGAGGCAGCAGUGGGGAAUAUGGCACAAUGGGCGGAAGCCUGAGGCAGCGACGCCGCGUGGGGGAUGACGGCCUUCGGGUUGUAAACUCCUUUCGACCGCGAGGAAGCCACCUGGUUGGAAGGGUGGUGACGGUAGUGGUAGAAGAAGCACCGGCUAACUACGUG
RNAcentral lists this ribosomal RNA (494 nucleotides) under uncultured bacterium. RNAcentral's name for it is "partial 16S ribosomal RNA". It matches the Rfam family "Bacterial small subunit ribosomal RNA", at positions 28 to 507 of the family's 1533-position model. The record is from RNAcentral.